Oncorhynchus gorbuscha (pink salmon) is the source of this 367-nucleotide long non-coding RNA. RefSeq lists it as uncharacterized. The record is from RefSeq and is a predicted model, not a curated record. Lineage: Eukaryota; Metazoa; Chordata; Actinopteri; Salmoniformes; Salmonidae. The transcript has 2 exons.
UGAUGAUGAUGAUGAUGAUGAUGAUGAUGAUGAUGAUGAUGAUGAUGAUGAAGAAGAAGAAGCUGAUAAUGAUGAUGAUGACAAUGAUUAUGACCAUCAUCAGUUUGAGAAGAUGUUCUGGGAUGCAGAUAUGGGGAGUAUGAAGAGGUUUUUCAAGACCUUGUUGAAAAUGAAAAAAAAAAAAAGAGUCAAUAUUCCCUCCUUCCUUCCUGAGCUCCAGGACAUAUCAUGUGUUUUAUAGUGAUAGUCUGUUCUACAACUCCUUCCUGAGCUCCAGGACAUAUCAUGUGUUUUAUAGUGAUAGUCUGUUCUACAACUCCUUCCUGAGCUCCAGGACAUAUCAUGUGUUUUAUAGUGAUAGUCUGUU